This 169-nucleotide ribosomal RNA is filed under the name uncultured Azospira sp. RNAcentral describes it as "partial 16S ribosomal RNA". It matches the Rfam family "Bacterial small subunit ribosomal RNA", at positions 1215 to 1382 of the family's 1533-position model. The record is from RNAcentral. Lineage: Bacteria; Pseudomonadati; Pseudomonadota; Betaproteobacteria; Rhodocyclales; Rhodocyclaceae.
UUCACACGUCAUACAAUGGUCGGUACAGAGGGUUGCCAAGCCGCGAGGUGGAGCCAAUCCCUUAAAGACCGAUCGUAGUCCGGAUCGUAGUCUGCAACUCGACUACGUGAAGUCGGAAUCGCUAGUAAUCGCGGAUCAGCAUGCCGCGGUGAAUACGUUCCCGGGUCUU